GGAAUAUUGCGCAAUGGGGGAAACCCUGACGCAGCGACGCCACGUGGGUGAUGAAGGCCUUCGGGUCGUAAAGCCCUGUCGAGGGGAAAGAAUCGGUGGAGACCCAACACGUCUCCGCCCUGACGGUACCCCUAAAGGAAGCACCGGCUAACUCCGUGCCAGCAGCCGCGGUAAUACGGAGGGUGCGAGCGUUGUUCGGAACCACUGGGCGUAAAGCGCGUGUAGGCGGUUCGUUAAGUCCGGUGUGAAAGCCCGAGGCUCACCCUCGGAAGUGCAUUGGAAACUGGCGAGCUGGAGUCCCGGAGAGGAGGGUGGAAUUCCUGGUGUAGCGGUGAAAUGCGUAGAUAUCAGGAGGAGCACCGGCGGCGAAGGCGGCCCUCUGGACGGUGACUGACGCUGAGACGCGAAAGCGUGGGGAGCAAA
This 423-nucleotide ribosomal RNA is filed under the name uncultured bacterium. RNAcentral describes it as "bacterial SSU rRNA". It matches the Rfam family "Bacterial small subunit ribosomal RNA", at positions 358 to 772 of the family's 1533-position model. The record is from RNAcentral.